GACGAACGCUGGCGGCGUGCUUAACACAUGCAAGUCGAACGGAAAGGCCCUGCUUCUGUGGGGUGCUCGAGUGGCGAACGGGUGAGUAACACGGGUGUAACCUGCCCUCGACUUUGGGAUAACUUCAGGAAACUGGGGCUAAUACCGGAUAGGAGCUCCUGCUGCAUGGUGGGGGUGGGAAAGUUUCGGCGGUUGGGGAUGGACUCGCGGCUUAUCAGCUUGUUGGUGGGGUAGUGGCUUACCAAGGCUUUGCCGGGUAGCCGGCCUGCGAGGGUGACCGGACACAUUGGGACUGAGAUACGGCACAGACUCCUACGGGAGGCAGCAGUGGGGAAGAGUGCACAAUGGGCGGAAGGCUGGUGCAGCAACGCCGCGUGCGGGAUGACGGCCUUCGGGUUGUAAACCGCUUUCGCCUGUGACGAAGCGUGAGUGACGGUAAUGGGUAAAGAAGCACCGGCUAACUACGUG
This 468-nucleotide ribosomal RNA is filed under the name uncultured bacterium. RNAcentral's name for it is "partial 16S ribosomal RNA". It matches the Rfam family "Bacterial small subunit ribosomal RNA", at positions 28 to 507 of the family's 1533-position model. The record is from RNAcentral.